GUGGUACCGUCAAACUUAUAGGGUAUUAACCUAUAGGCACUUCUUCCCACCUGACAGAGCUUUACAACCAAGGCCUUCUUCACUCACGCGGCGUCGCUGCGUCAGGGUUUCCCCCAUUGCGCAAUAUUCCUCA
This 133-nucleotide ribosomal RNA is filed under the name uncultured bacterium. RNAcentral describes it as "partial 16S ribosomal RNA". The record is from RNAcentral.